UAUUAUACUAGUAAGUAUUAAUAUCCUAGAUUAUUAUUAGGUAUAGUCUUUAAAUUCAAAGAAUUUGGCGGUAAUUUAGUCUUGUUAGAGGAACCUGUUUUUGAAUCGAUAAUCCACGAAAAAUUUUACUUGUUUUAUAUAGUUUAUAUACCGUCAUUAUCAGAUAAUUUUGAAAAAACUAAUUAUUAAAAUUUAAAUUAAAAUAAAUUAAAUUAGAUCAAGGUGUAGCCUAUAAAUAAGUUAAAAUGGGUUACAAUAAAAUAUAUUUAUGAUGGAAUAGUUGUAUGAAAUUAAAUUAUGAAGGGGGAUUUAAUUGUAAUUUUAGUUUAAUAAGUUAAAAAGAUAUAAGCUCUAAAUUAU
This 360-nucleotide ribosomal RNA is filed under the name Micropanope pusilla. RNAcentral describes it as "partial 12S ribosomal RNA". The record is from RNAcentral. Lineage: Eukaryota; Metazoa; Arthropoda; Malacostraca; Decapoda; Xanthidae.